CUCCAUCUCCACCGACUAAGCUCCACUCCGCAAUUUCCAGGUGGCCGCUGGGCUGGGAGUCUCGCGCCGGGGGCCGGCGCUGUCUCGCGAGCCCCCUCCCGGAGCCAGCCAAUGGGGUUGGUUACUGGAGCCGCCCGCCCGCCUGGUGCAGAGCGCUGGGCUCUGUGAGCGGCGCUGCCAUUUAAAGGGGCCGCGACCCCUGUCCCGGCUGCUAGGGAGGGAGGUGGAGAAGGAGCGCGGGGCCGUCGCUGUCUGCAGUUCUAGGCUUGUAGCCGUUACACUAACCCUGCCGCAGCCCAUAUCCAGUCAUCCUCAUGGACCCCAGGGAUUUCCCCAGUCCGUUUGACCCAUUGACCCUGCCAGAGAAGCCCCUGGCUGGAGACCUUCCAGUAGACAUGGAAUUUGGAGAGGACCUACUGGAAUCCCAGACUGCCCCAACUCGAGGAUGGGCUCCCCCUGGCCCUUCUCCAUCCUCAGGAGCCCUGGACCUGCUUGAUACCCCUGCUGGCCUGGAAAAAGACCCCGGAGUCCUGGAUGGAGCCACUGAGCUGCUGGGGUUGGGGGGGCUGCUCUAUAAAGCCCCCUCCCCCCCAGAGGUGGACCAUGGUCCUGAGGGGACCCUUUCAUGGGAUGCAGGAGAUCAGACCCUAGAGCCUGGACCAGGGGGUCAGACCCCUGAGGUGGUGCCACCUGACCCAGAGGCUGGGGCAAACCCCUCUUCACCCGAGGGGCUGCUAGAACCUUUGGCUCCAGAUUCUCCAAUAAACCUGCAGUCCCCACAUAUUGAAGAGGAGACCACCUCCACAGCUAUAGGGAGAAGGGGCUCCCCUGGGCAUGAGGAGGAGCUUCCCCAAGGGCGGCCACAGAGCCCAAAUGGCCCCCCCAGCCCUUCAGUGGGAGAGACUCUGGGGGAUGGAAUCAACAGUUCUCAGAGCAAACCUGGGGGCCCUAGCCCCCCUGCACACCCCUCCUUGCCAGGAGAUGGCCUGACUGGGAAGGCGAGUGAGAAGCCGCCUGAGAGGAAGAGAAGCGAGCGCGUUCGGAGAGCGGAGCCUCCAAAACCUGAGGUUGUGGAUUCCACUGAGAGCAUUCCAGUGUCAGACGAGGAUUCUGAUGCCAUGGUAGAUGAUCCGAACGAUGAGGACUUUGUGCCAUUCCGGCCCCGGCGCUCUCCACGCAUGUCCCUGCGCUCCAGCGUGGCGCAAAGGGCCGGCCGCUCCUCGGUGGGCACCAAGAUGACCUGUGCUCACUGCCGGACCCCUCUGCAGAAGGGGCAGACGGCCUACCAGCGCAAGGGGCUGCCUCAGCUCUUCUGCUCCUCAUCCUGCCUCACCACCUUCUCAAAGAAGCCCUCGGGCAAAAAGACCUGUACCUUCUGCAAGAAGGAGAUCUGGAACACCAAGGACUUGGUUGUGGCACAGACAGGUUCAGGGGGCUCCUUCCAUGAGUUCUGCACGUCCGUCUGCCUCUCCCUGUAUGAGGCCCAGCAGCAGCGCCCCAUCCCCCAGGCUGGGGACCCCGCAGAUGCCACUCGCUGCAGCAUAUGCCAGAAGACCGGAGAGGUCCUGCACGAGGUCAGCAAUGGCAGCGUGGUACACCGGCUCUGCAGCGAUUCGUGCUUCUCCAAAUUCCGGGCCAACAAGGGACUGAAAACCAACUGCUGUGACCAGUGCGGGGCUUACAUCUACACCAAGACUGGGAGCCCUGGCCCUGAGCUCCUCUUCCACGAGGGCCAACAGAAGCGGUUCUGCAACACAACCUGCUUGGGGGCGUACAAGAAGAAAAACACACGUGUGUACCCAUGUGUCUGGUGCAAGACCCUGUGUAAGAACUUUGAGAUGCUCUCACAUGUGGACCGUAAUGGCAAGACGAGCUUGUUCUGUUCCCUCUGCUGUACCACCUCUUACAAAGUGAAGCAGGCAGGGCUCACUGGCCCUUCCCGACCCUGCAGCUUCUGCCGCCGCAGCCUCUCUGAGCCCUGUUACUACAACAAGGUCGAUCGCACAGUCUACCAGUUCUGCAGCCUCAGCUGCUGGACCAAGUUCCAGCGCACAAGCCCUGAGGGGGGCAUUCACCUGAGCUGUCACUACUGCCACAGCCUCUUCAGUGGCAAGCCUGAGGUCUUGGACUGGCAGGACCAGGUGUUCCAGUUCUGCUGCCGCGAUUGCUGUGAGGACUUCAAGCGACUUCGGGGUGUGGUGUCCCAGUGUGAGCAUUGCCGGCAGGAGAAACUCCUGCAUGAGAAGCUCCGAUUCAGCGGGGUGGAGAAGAGCUUCUGUAGUGAAGGUUGCGUGCUGCUAUACAAACAGGACUUCACUAAGAAGCUGGGACUUUGCUGUAUCACUUGUACUUACUGCUCCCAGACCUGCCAGCGCGGCGUCACCGAGCAACUGGAUGGCAGCACCUGGGACUUCUGCAGCGAGGACUGUAAAAGCAAGUACCUGCUGUGGUACUGCAAGGCUGCCCGGUGCCAUGCUUGUAAGCGCCAGGGGAAGCUGCUGGAGACCAUCCACUGGCGUGGGCAGAUCCGCCAUUUCUGCAACCAACAGUGUCUGCUGCGCUUCUACAGCCAGCAGAACCAACCCAACCUGGACACUCAGAGCGGGCCCGAGAGCCUCCUGAACAGUCAGGCUUCUGAGUCGAAGUCCCAGACACCCUCGCAAACCAAAGUGGAGAACAGCAAUACAGUGAAGACCGCAGAGGAAACUGGGAAUCCGGGCAAGAUCCCUGCAAAGACCCGCUCGGCUCCCACAGCUUGCACCCCUCCUCCACCCCCACCACCCCCAGCAACACCCCGCAAAAACAAAGCGGCCAUGUGCAAGCCACUGAUGCAGAACCGAGGGGUCUCCUGCAAGGUGGAAAUGAAGUCCAAAGGGAGCCAGACAGAAGAGUGGAAGCCGCAGGUGAUCGUGCUGCCCAUCCCAGUGCCCAUCUUUGUACCAGUGCCUAUGCAUCUGUACUGCCAGAAAGUCCCGGUGCCUUUCUCAAUGCCCAUCCCGGUGCCUGUGCCCAUGUUCCUGCCCACUACCUUGGAGAGCACAGACAAGAUCGUGGAGACCAUUGAGGAGCUGAAGGUGAAGAUCCCAUCAAACCCCUUGGAGGCCGACAUCCUGGCUAUGGCAGAAAUGAUCGCAGAGGCGGAGGAGUUAGACAAAGCCUCGUCUGACCUGUGUGAUCUUGUGAGCAACCAGAGUGCAGAGGGACUUCUGGAAGACUGUGACCUGUUUGGGCCGGCUCGAGAUGAUGUCCUGGCCAUGGCUGUCAAGAUGGCUAACGUGUUGGAUGAGCCUGGGCAAGACUUGGAGGCUGACUUCCCCAAGAAUCCUUUGGACAUUAACCCCAGCGUAGACUUCCUCUUUGAUUGUGGCCUGGUAGGGCCCGAGGACGUGUCUACUGAACAAGACCUUCCCCGCACCAUGAGGAAGGGUCAAAAGCGGCUGGUGCUUUCGGAGAGCUGUUCCCGGGACUCCAUGAGCAGCCAGCCCAGCUGCACUGGGCUGAACUAUUCAUACGGUGUCAAUGCUUGGAAGUGCUGGGUGCAGUCGAAGUAUGCCAAUGGAGAAACCAGCAAGGGGGAUGAGCUGCGCUUCGGCCCCAAACCUAUGCGUAUCAAAGAGGAUAUUCUGGCCUGCUCAGCUGCUGAGCUCAACUACGGUCUGGCCCAGUUUGUGAGAGAAAUCACUCGACCCAACGGGUGAACGAUACGAACCUGACAGUAUCUACUAUCUGUGUCUUGGCAUCCACAGUACUUGCUGGAAAAUAACCGAAUGGUGAACAUUUUCACGGACCUUUACUACCUGACUUUCGUUCAAGAACUCAACAAGUCUCUCAGUACCUGGCAGCCCACACUCCUCCCCAACAAUACAGUCUUCUCCCGAGUGGAGGAAGAACACCUGUGGGAGUGUAAGCAGCUGGGGGUCUACUCGCCCUUUGUCCUUCUCAACACCCUCAUGUUCUUCAACACUAAGUUUUUUGGGCUGCAGACAGCCGAGGAGCACAUGCAGCUCUCCUUCACCAAUGUGGUGCGGCAGUCCCGCAAAUGCACCACCCCUCGUGGCACCACCAAGGUGGUCAGCAUCCGCUACUACGCCCCGGUCCGCCAGAGAAAAGGGCGAGACACGGGUCCAGGGAAACGGAAGAGAGAAGACGAAGCUCCUAUCUUGGAGCAGCGUGAGAACCGCAUGAACCCACUGCGCUGCCCUGUCAAGUUCUAUGAAUUCUAUCUGUCAAAAUGUCCCGAAAGCCUCCGGACUCGCAACGAUGUGUUCUACCUGCAACCUGAGCGCUCUUGCAUCGCUGAGUCGCCUCUCUGGUACUCUGUGAUCCCCAUGGACCGGAGCAUGUUGGAGAGCAUGCUCAACCGCAUUCUGGCUGUACGCGAGAUCUAUGAGGAGCUGGGUCGUCCUGGAGAGGAGGAUCUGGACUGAGCCUGCGUGCUCUUCAUCCAUCCUUCGCACCAGUGUGUGGCCGGCAGCCACGCCCCACAGGGUGACUGGCCCAGGAACCAAUGCUACUCCUUCUGAAGGGCCCUGGCUGCCCUUUUCUACUCAUCCAUUCCCUGCCUUCCCUAGGAACCCCUGGCUUUUACCAACUUCCAUACCACUUGACAACAAUGGGGCCCCAGUCCUCUGUGCUUGGGGGCUGGUCUCCCAGAGAUGGGCAGAAACCAUCUAGGCCAUUCUCUUUGAACUUCAGAGUAAAGCCCUUCUCCUGGGGCCGCACUCUGGGUGGAGUGUUGCUAGCUCUGAUGGUCCCAUCCCACAUAGGCAAAGCCCCUUGUUCCUAGGUUUGGCCAAGGGAAGAACCUAGCUGCCUUCUCUGCCCUGUGCCCAUUCCCCUCUCUACUGUCUCCCAGUACCACGCUCAAGGGUCUUGUAUGGAAGGUAUGAAAGAAUCUGAAAGUAACGAGGGGACCAUUUACCUAAAACACAGAGCUUACACACACUUUCUCUCCCAUAAGAUAACUGGUUGUUGGAAUCCCCUCACCACCUCGUUCCUCCUCCCCACCCCUGCCAGCACCAGUCCUGGGUGCUGCAAUUUAAAAAGCUUCCAAAUGCUUUCAUUUCCUCAAAGGCAGAGAAUGACUCUAAGUAUGGGGAGCAGAGUCCUGCCCCCUUGGUUUAUGUGUUUGUCUCUCUCUCUGCCAUCUUGGCAUGAGCCAUGUGUCAACAUGCUUAGCCCCCUUCUGUAACUGCCUCCCUUUAGUUCAGUGGACACAGUUCCCAAGGCAAAAACUACCUUCUGACUUGGGUUGGGGCUGGGUUCCCCACUCUUGUUCUUCCCCCAUCAUAAGAGCCAGGCUAAGCCUGUGGGGGCCCUGGGUCAUGCAGGAUGGGCUCUGUGGUCAGGAUAGGUGAGGAGCUGUGGGCAUGGGUCCUGCCCCUAAUGCCUACAUUUUUUCUCUUCCCCAUCUUGCCUUUGUAGUUCCAGAAAACUGUUAGCAUCCGGCAAAGGGGGUACCCAGUUCUUUCCCUGUUGGCUUUGCUGUUCCCCAGCCUUUUUGUGUUUUUAUAACUGUCACCAGUUUAGCCACUGUUUAAAUUGUAUAUAUUGUUCUGAGGUGCCUGGCCUGUCCCUUCAGUGAGCCAUGCCCGCCCUUGUGUUGUAGUGAGAAGCUGUUGUCACAACUAACCUUCUGUCUCUGGAAUUGUUUGUUUCAAAUAAAGAGUUAAAAUUGUU
Molecule: RNA transcript, 5679 nt
Organism: Rhinolophus ferrumequinum (greater horseshoe bat)
Lineage: Eukaryota; Metazoa; Chordata; Mammalia; Chiroptera; Rhinolophidae
Gene: ZMYM3
Gene name: zinc finger MYM-type containing 3
Exons: 25
Source: RefSeq, a predicted model, not a curated record